Megalopta genalis is the source of this 1609-nucleotide non-coding RNA. NCBI's taxonomy places the organism in Eukaryota, Metazoa, Arthropoda, Insecta, Hymenoptera, Halictidae. The record is from RefSeq and is a predicted model, not a curated record.
GACACAUGGAGAUGCUGCACGAUUGGCAGAUUAAUAGAAACAAAAUUGAAAAGAAUACGUAGAAGAAAUUAAGAGCCUAAAGUGGCAUACACACCGAUCGAAACUACUUACAGCGUUGAACUUUGGCAAAGUCUGUCGGCGAAUGAAAAAGACGAACUGUGGAAAUUUGGUAAAGUCACUGCUGUAUCCAAAAGUAUUGGAUUUGACUGUCAUUGAAUAUCGUCGGUAGUGUGAGGAUAUUGAUCGAGAACAACUUUCAAAGCUGAAAGGUGUUGAAAUCCGCAAAUCCGGUCUCUUCAUCGAUGCCGAAAUAACAUUUCGAGGGAAUUAAAUGCCCGAAGAGACGGCAGGAAAUUUAUCCCCAGAAGAAGCGAUAAAAAAAGAUUCCACUAAUACGAAGAAUAUUUGAGGAUGAUGCAGAUUCCCUUCACCUGUAUAAACUCCAUAGUGCUGUUAAUCCACUGGCAUAGAAUAAUUUAUAAGAUCGACGGGGAGUUGCGUGUCAUACGAUAACACAACUUCGACCCGAUGAUGUUCAUGCGGAGCGACGAACACUUUUGUGGACCACUGUAUAUUGUCUCAAUCGGCAACCUGAGACGCCCUGUAGUCAGAAGACUCAACAUUGUCUCCAACUGUCUUCCGGCACUGAACGCAGAAAAUAACAGCAAAUGAAGGAUAGAUAAUAACGCAAUGUGUAACUUCUUUAUUUUUUAUUAUUUCUUAAUGGGACUUUUCCUAAUGCAAUCGUAAGGUUUGUUAAGGUUAUUGACAAAGGUUGGCAAGGUACCUUGACGUCCGGUUGGAGCAGUGGCCUCUCCCCUGGUCAGAGGAAGAGGUAGGGGUAUCAGCCGACGAACUCAAUGUGGCAGCGGGAAAACUUGAAGGAGCAGGGCUCCCAGACCAGAUGGGGUACAUAAAAGGGUCAUUGGUCCAGUUGGGCCAAUUGUUCGGCCCCCAAAAUAAGGGAAAUAGUCUCAGGGAGGAGGAGUUCGAAUGCAUGCUGAGAUCACACUGAGUCUGACUACCAUAGUCACAGGGUCAAUCGAGGUCUGCCUCGUACCCCCUAACGCCCCGAGACGAUCGCCGUAGCAGACAUGCUGUACUCAGAUCUCUGACAAUGAAGCUGACAAAGAUUCAUCAAAUAUCGUUCCACUCCAUCCAAAUCACGUCAAAACUCGACCGCAGAAAUAGUUAACAGAAUCGUGGGAAUUUAUCCCGAAAAUGCAUGCGGGUAGUGUCCAAUCAUGUUAAGUAAAGAAUGUGAGACUGAGUCCAUGAUUUAUUGGGUGAAGUCCUUGAAUCAAUACAACAACCUUCGCCGGCCUUCAACGGCCAAAAGCGUAGGGUACGGCCAUAUAAAAUAAACCAGAUGUGCAGAGACGUAAACUACGGACGACCCGCUGUCACCGACGGUACCCAGCGCUUUUAGAACGUAAUUAACGGCCGUUCGAAGAAAAUGGUAUCGGGUGUCAUUUCCUCGGACGAUCGAACGACGAACAAGGGCCCACAGUCAAGGCCUUAACUUUUCGGCAAUGAAACGUCGACUCCUGAACGAACGCGUCGAAUAAACGAUUAUCCGCGAACCAGUCUCAGUGAUCUUUCUUAAUAU